AUUGAACGCUGGCGGCAUGCUUUACACAUGCAAGUCGAACGGUAACAGGUUAAGCUGACGAGUGGCGAACGGGUGAGUAAUGCAUCGGAACGUGCCCGGUCGUGGGGGAUAACGCAGCGAAAGUUGCGCUAAUACCGCAUACGAUCUGAGGAUGAAAGCGGGGGACCGUAAGGCCUCGCGCGAUCGGAGCGGCCGAUGUCAGAUUGGGUAGUUGGUGGGGUAAAGGCUCACCAAGCCAACGAUCUGUAGCUGGUCUGAGAGGCCGACCAGCCACACUGGGACUGAGACACGGCCCAGACUCCUACGGGAGGCAGCAGUGGGGAAUUUUGGACAAUGGGCGAAAGCCUGAUCCGGCAAUGCCGCGUGCAGGAAGAAGGCCUUCGGGUUGUAAACUGCUUUUGUACGGAGCGAAAAGGUCUCCUCUAAUACAGGGGGCUCAUGACGGUACCGUAAGAAUAAGCACCGGCUAACUACGUGCCAGCAGCCGCAGUAA
Molecule: ribosomal RNA, 493 nt
Filed under: uncultured bacterium
Lineage: Bacteria
Description: partial 16S ribosomal RNA
Rfam family: Bacterial small subunit ribosomal RNA
Source: RNAcentral